This 330-nucleotide long non-coding RNA is filed under the name Zonotrichia albicollis (white-throated sparrow). Its description in RNAcentral is "lncRNA (ENSZALG00000018084.1)". Lineage: Eukaryota; Metazoa; Chordata; Aves; Passeriformes; Passerellidae. The record is from RNAcentral.
CCACACUAAAACAGGAAUACCCAAAAGGAACUGCAGCUUGUGGAGGACCUGGGUAGGAGACAAGCAGAAAGGAAGGGAGAAAGAAACCAGCAAGAAAUAAGAAGCUGAAGCAAGAAAACAUCAUCUACCAACCCAGUCUCCUGAGCUGUCCAUCACCUCAUGCAAGGGUCUUGCUGUAAGUCUUUGGGCUUUCUAAUCCUCCCCUGAUUGUCUUUAAAGUAAUGCUUGCAUCAGCAGUGAACCACGGCGAGCAAAACCCUCAGGGGAGAAGAUAAGUUGCUGAAUAUUCAGUGUAGCUGCCUUGUGCAGAGCCCAGAAGGGAUGGCCCUG